Alexandromys fortis (reed vole) is the source of this 601-nucleotide non-coding RNA. Lineage: Eukaryota; Metazoa; Chordata; Mammalia; Rodentia; Cricetidae. The record is from the annotation of a RefSeq genome assembly.
UGAGUGAAAAAGUGAAGACAGUCAGAGGCCUGAAAGUUCCCAGAAUUAGGACCAUUUCUGCAGGUUGUUUGUUUUCUAGAAUUUAUCUAAAGAAGGAAGGUGUCUCGUCAACUUUUUGUUCUUUGUCUCCAUCUUCAAGAACUGGGAACGGCAGCCACUUUCCACCAUGUGGCAAGCUUUUCCAAAAAGGCACUGUAAGUGUCUCCGGUGCUCAUCAAUGCUUAAAGUCCUCAUCUCGUUCCUAGGCAUACCUUUUUUCCUGGGAGACAUCCAAGCACAGUCAGUUACACAGCCAGAUGCCCAUGUCACUGUCUGUGAAGGAGACUCGGUGGAGCUCAGAUGCAACUACUCUUUUCCUGGAGCUCCUUACCUCUUCUGGUACAUGCAGCGCCCUGGCCAGGGCCUCCAGCUUCUCCUCAGGUACUUUUCAGGAGAAACUCUGGUUCAUGGAGCAAAUGGCUUUGAGGCUGUUUUUCAGAGGAGUAACUCUUCCUUCCACCUGAAGAAAGCCUCUGUGCACUGGAGUGACUCGGCUGUGUACUUCUGUGCUCUGAGUGCACAGUGUCUGAGCCUGCAGGGGGAGCUGAAUGCAAACCUGUAA